Molecule: ribosomal RNA, 253 nt
Filed under: uncultured bacterium
Lineage: Bacteria
Description: partial 16S ribosomal RNA
Rfam family: Bacterial small subunit ribosomal RNA
Source: RNAcentral
UACAGAGGAGCCAGGCGUUGUCCGGAUUGACUGGGCGUAAAGCGCACGCAGGCGGACGCGCGCGUGGGGUGUGAAAUCUGGCCGCUUAACGGCCAGGCGCCAUCCCAUACGGCGCGUCUGGAGUGAUGCAGAGGUCGGUGGAAUUGCCGGUGUAGUGGUGAAAUGCGUAGAGAUCGGCAGGAACACCCAGGGGGAAACCAGCCGACUGGGCAUCUACUGACGCUGAGGUGCGAGAGCGUGGGGAGCGAACCGG